This 77-nucleotide transfer RNA is filed under the name Schleiferiaceae bacterium. RNAcentral describes it as "tRNA-Ile". It matches the Rfam family "tRNA". Rfam says of the family: Transfer RNA (tRNA) molecules are approximately 80 nucleotides in length. Their secondary structure includes four short double-helical elements and three loops (D, anti-codon, and T loops). Lineage: Bacteria; Pseudomonadati; Bacteroidota; Flavobacteriia; Flavobacteriales; Schleiferiaceae. The record is from RNAcentral.
GGGCCCAUAGCUCAGUUGGUUAGAGUAGAUGACUCAUAAUCAUUUGGUCGCCGGUUCGAGCCCGGCUGGGCCCACCA